RNAcentral lists this transfer RNA (72 nucleotides) under Camelus bactrianus (Bactrian camel). It matches the Rfam family "tRNA". Rfam says of the family: Transfer RNA (tRNA) molecules are approximately 80 nucleotides in length. Their secondary structure includes four short double-helical elements and three loops (D, anti-codon, and T loops). The record is from Rfam by way of RNAcentral. RNAcentral also lists the same sequence under 2 other names. Lineage: Eukaryota; Metazoa; Chordata; Mammalia; Artiodactyla; Camelidae.
GGGUAUAUAGCUCAGUGGCAGAGCGCGUGUUUAACAUGCACGAGGUCCUGUGUUGAAUUCCCAGUACCUCCC